RNAcentral lists this long non-coding RNA (548 nucleotides) under Equus caballus (horse). Its description in RNAcentral is "lncRNA (ENSECAG00000047206.1)". Lineage: Eukaryota; Metazoa; Chordata; Mammalia; Perissodactyla; Equidae. The record is from RNAcentral.
GCCCUGGCCGCGCAGCACCUCGCGGAGUCGGGAGGCGGGUGGGAGUGCGCCGGAGAGACGAGCCGCUCGCCACGCGCCGGCUUCGUGCUGGGCGCCCUCGGGGACUCCGGAGGAGACCCCGCCUUCCAGGCCCGCGCCUCCCUUCGGAGCGGCGAGACCCGCGUCCCGUGCCCGCCCUGCCUCAGUUUCCCCAUUUGUAGGGUGCCAGAUCUGGGCCAUGGGCCAGAAGAUGCUAUGUGCUGCCCUCACAGAGCAGGAACUUGAAGUAAGGAAUUGGGAGCCUGCUCAAGAGAAUGGGCUAACCAGGAUGGCCCGACCUGAACCCGCGAGAACACAAGCUCAAGGGAGCACAGACAGCCCGUUGUGUUUAUCGCUGCCUCCCGGGUGCUCAGAACAAUCCCGAUACCUAGGACCAGUCAAUAACUAGGUGUCGAAUGAAUGAACAAGGGGCACGUGGUGUAUUUGGGAGAGGCUCCAAGAGAUCGUCAAGCCCUUCCCACGGCACACCAGGUCACCUAGAAUAGCAAGCAGCCGCGCCCAGAAUAGAG